This 442-nucleotide ribosomal RNA is filed under the name uncultured bacterium. Its description in RNAcentral is "partial 16S ribosomal RNA". It matches the Rfam family "Bacterial small subunit ribosomal RNA", at positions 338 to 795 of the family's 1533-position model. The record is from RNAcentral.
CCUACGGGUGGCAGCAGUGGGGAAUAUUGGGCAAUGGGCGCAAGCCUGACCCAGCAACGCCGCGUGAAGGAAGAAGGCUUUCGGGUUGUAAACUUCUUUUAAGAGGGAAGAGCAGAAGACGGUACCUCUUGAAUAAGCCACGGCUAACUACGUGCCAGCAGCCGCGGUAAUACGUAGGUGGCAAGCGUUGUCCGGAUUUACUGGGUGUAAAGGGCGUGCAGCCGGGCCGACAAGUCAGAUGUGAAAUCCGCGGGCUUAACCCGCGAACUGCAUUUGAAACUAUUGGUCUUGAGUACCGGAGAGGUCAUCGGAAUUCCGUGUGUAGCGGUGAAAUGCGGAGAUAUAAGGAAGAACACCAGUGGCGAAGGCGGAUGACUGGACGGCAACUGACGGUGAGGCGCGAAAGCGUGGGGAGCAAACAGGAUUAGAUACCCGAGUAGUC